AGAUUCCUCGAGUAACGGCGAGUGAAAGGGGAGAAGCUCAGCGUGUAGCCUCGGGGAUGCCACUCCAAGCGAGUGUGUUAAUCCUACGAUGGGAUGCCACGUAUGGGAGAAAGCUAGAAGAGUCCGCGACCCGGCAAUCCGAACUGUAAGAUGAAACAUUGCCCAGAGAGGGUGUUAGGCCCGUAGGACCGUUGUUUGUCGUGACUUUUCGCGGCUUUCUCUCGAGAGUCGGGUUGUUUGAGAAUACAGCCUUAAGAGGUGGGAAACUCCAUCUAAAGCUAAAUAUUACUGCGAGACCGAUAGCGAACAAGUACCGUGAGGGAAAGUUGAAAAGGACUCUGAAGAGAGGGUUCAAGAGAGCGUGAAACUGCCACGGGGAUAAAGCGGAUACAUUAGCGUAGUCGAAAAGGGAGAUACAACUCGUUAGUCGUCGACCUCUCGGUUUCGACGAGCGUAAGGAAUUACAUACCGGCGGGUUUUUAACUCGCAUUGGUUCUUGACUCCUAUCGCCGUCGAUCGAGUUACGCGUACGUUCACUAACGAGUCUACUUCACACCUUAGUAGGCCGUCGCGACGGUCGGAAAGUUGUCGAAGGCUUAUGGAAAGGUCGCGGGAACCUUUCGUCGCGUGGAAGGAACUCGUUUCUUUCUAUCGCCGACGAAGGGGGACGCUUUCUUGAAUUU
This 683-nucleotide ribosomal RNA is filed under the name Acanthamunnopsis longicornis. Its description in RNAcentral is "eukaryotic LSU rRNA". It matches the Rfam family "Eukaryotic large subunit ribosomal RNA", at positions 72 to 618 of the family's 3401-position model. The record is from RNAcentral. Lineage: Eukaryota; Metazoa; Arthropoda; Malacostraca; Isopoda; Munnopsidae.